CCUACGGGGGGCUGCAGUGAGGAAUAUUGGUCAAUGGGCGAGAGCCUGAACCAGCCAUCCCGCGUGCAGGAUGACGGCCCUAUGGGUUGUAAACUGCUUUUCUGCUCCAAGAAACCCUGUUACGUGUAACAGGUUGACGGUAGAGUAGGAAUAAGCAUCGGCUAACUCCGUGCCAGCAGCCGCGGUAAUACGGAGGAUGCAAGCGUUAUCCGGAUUCAUUGGGUUUAAGGUGUGCGCAUAAGGGAAUGGAGAAAUACUGCCGCUUAACGGUAGAACUGCCAUUGAUACUGCGUUUCUUGAGUAUGGUUGAGGUAGGUGGAAUGUGUUGUGUAGCGGUGAAAUGCAUAGAUAUGACACAGAACGCCGAUUGCGAAGGCAACUUACUAAGCCAUUGCUGACGCUGAGGCACGAAAGCGUGGGUAGCGAACAGGAUUAGAUACCCCUGUAGUC
This 450-nucleotide ribosomal RNA is filed under the name uncultured bacterium. RNAcentral describes it as "partial 16S ribosomal RNA". It matches the Rfam family "Bacterial small subunit ribosomal RNA", at positions 338 to 795 of the family's 1533-position model. The record is from RNAcentral.